GGUGCAGGGGGAACCUGAGCGCACGCCGCGUGGAGGAUGACAGAUUUCGGUGCGGAAACUCCUUUUAUAUAAGAAGAUAAUGACGGCUAUUAUAUGAAUAAGCACCGGCUAACUCCGAUGCCAGCAGCCGCGGUAAUACGACCAGCAGCCGCGGUAAUACGA
Molecule: ribosomal RNA, 162 nt
Filed under: uncultured bacterium
Lineage: Bacteria
Description: partial 16S ribosomal RNA
Source: RNAcentral